RNAcentral lists this ribosomal RNA (500 nucleotides) under uncultured bacterium. RNAcentral describes it as "partial 16S ribosomal RNA". It matches the Rfam family "Bacterial small subunit ribosomal RNA", at positions 29 to 523 of the family's 1533-position model. The record is from RNAcentral.
AUUGAACGCUGGCGGCAUGCCUUACACAUGCAAGUCGAACGGCAGCACGGGAGCAAUCCUGGUGGCGAGUGGCGAACGGGUGAGUAAAGUAUCGGAACGUGCCCAGUCGUGGGGGAUAACGUAGCGAAAGUUACGCUAAUACCGCAUACGAUCUAUGGAUGAAAGCGGGGGAUCGCAAGACCUCGCGCGAUUGGAGCGGCCGAUAUCAGGUUAGGUAUUUGGUGGGGUAAAGGCUCACCAAGCAGACGAUCUGUAGCUGGGCUGAGAGGACGACCAGCCACACUGGGACUGAGACACGGCCCAGACGCCUACGGGAGGCAGCAGUGGGGAAUUUUGGACAAUGGGCGAAAGCCUGAUCCAGCCAUGCCGCGUGCAGGAUGAAGGCCUUCGGGUUGUAAACUGCUUUUGUACGGAACGAAAAGGUUUGGGCUAAUAAGCUGAGCUCAUGACGGUACCGUAAGAAUAAGCACCGGCUAACUACGUGCCAGCCGCCGCGGUAA